UCAGAUUGAGGGCUGCAACCCGCCCUCAUGAAGUCGGAGUUGCUAGUAAUCGCGGAUCAGCAUGUCGCGGUGAAUACGUUCCCGGGUCUUGUACACACCGCCCGUCACACCAUGGGAGUCGGAAAUGCCCGAAGUCUGUGACCUAACCGUAAGGAAGGAGCAGCCGAAGGCAGGUCGGAUGACUGGGGUGAAGUCGUAACAAGGUAGC
RNAcentral lists this ribosomal RNA (208 nucleotides) under uncultured bacterium. RNAcentral's name for it is "partial 16S ribosomal RNA". It matches the Rfam family "Bacterial small subunit ribosomal RNA", at positions 1293 to 1500 of the family's 1533-position model. The record is from RNAcentral.